GGAGUCUAGCAUGUGCGCGAGUCAUUGGGACGAGCGAAACCUAAAGGCGAAAUGAAAGUGAAGGCGUGCCUCGCGCGCGCCGAGGGAGGAUGGGCCGCGCUCGUCGCGGCCUCGCACUCCCGGGGCGUUUCGUUCUCAUCGCGAGAAGAGGCGCACCCAGAGCGUACACGCUGGGACCCGAAAGAUGGUGAACUAUGCCUGGUCAGGACGAAGUCAGGGGAAACCCUGAUGGAGGUCCGUAGCGAUUCUGACGUGCAAAUCGAUCGUCGGAACUGGGUAUAGGGGCGAAAGACUAAUCGAACCAUCUAGUAGCUGGUUCCCUCCGAAGUUUCCCUCAGGAUAGCUGGCGCUCGCUGUGCGAGUCUCAUCCGGUAAAGCGAAUGAUUAGAGGCAUUGGGGUCGAAACGGCCUCAACCUAUUCUCAAACUUUAAAUGGGUGAGAACUCCGGCUUGCUUAAACCGUGAAGCCGCGAGUUUUCCUUUCGUAAGGAUCAGAGUGCCAAGUGGGCCACUUUUGGUAAGCAGAACUGGCGCUGUGGGAUGAACCAAACGCAGAGUUAAAGCGCCCAAAUCGACGCUUAUGGGAUACCAUGAAAGGCGUUGGUAACUUAAGACAGCAGGACGGUGGCCAUGGAA
This 636-nucleotide ribosomal RNA is filed under the name Sphenoptera tappesi. RNAcentral's name for it is "eukaryotic LSU rRNA". It matches the Rfam family "Eukaryotic large subunit ribosomal RNA", at positions 670 to 1259 of the family's 3401-position model. Lineage: Eukaryota; Metazoa; Arthropoda; Insecta; Coleoptera; Buprestidae. The record is from RNAcentral.